AGCGAACGCUGGCGGCAGGCUUAACACAUGCAAGUCGAGCGGGCCUUUCGGGGUCAGCGGCGGACGGGUGAUUAACGCGUGGGAACGUGCCCUCUGGUUCGGAAUAACUCAGGGAAACUUGAGCUAAUACCGGAUACGCCCUUUUGGGGAAAGGCUUGCUGCCGGAGGAUCGGCCCGCGUCUGAUUAGCUAGUUGGUGAGGUAACGGCUCACCAAGGCGACGAUCAGUAGCUGGUGUGAGAGGAUGAUCAGCCACACUGGGACUGAGACACGGACCAGACUCCUACGGGAGGGAGCAGUGGGGAAUAUUGGAGAAUGGGCGCAAGCCUGAUCCAGCCAUGCCGCGUGAGUGAUGAAGGCCUUAGGGUUGUAAAGCUCUUUUAUCCGGGACGAUAAUGACGGUACCGGAGGAAUAAGCCCCGGCUAACUUCGUG
RNAcentral lists this ribosomal RNA (433 nucleotides) under uncultured bacterium. RNAcentral describes it as "partial 16S ribosomal RNA". It matches the Rfam family "Bacterial small subunit ribosomal RNA", at positions 29 to 507 of the family's 1533-position model. The record is from RNAcentral.